Molecule: long non-coding RNA, 1091 nt
Filed under: Monodelphis domestica (gray short-tailed opossum)
Lineage: Eukaryota; Metazoa; Chordata; Mammalia; Didelphimorphia; Didelphidae
Description: lncRNA (ENSMODG00000047299.1)
Source: RNAcentral
CUAAUUUAAGAUGUCUAAGAGGCAGUUGAUGAUGCAUGUCUAUAAGAUCAGAAAACAGAUUAUGUCUAUAUGUAGACAUCUAUAAAUCAUUGUAUCGAGAUCAUAAUUAAACCUAUAGGACCUCCCUUACAUACAGAGGAAAAAAAGAAUAGAGCCUAGGACAGAGACUUGAAGAAUAGCUAUGGUUGAUGGUUGUGAUCAUUUUGAAGGAUCGGCAAAGGAAAGAGUUGGAAAGAUAGGAAAGAAAUUAAGAGAAGACAACAUUAUGAAACCCAGAAGUGAGAAAACAGUAAUGAAAGGAAGUAGCUCAACAGUGUCAAAUUCUCCUGGGUGGUCAUUAAAGGGAUACUGUUAGGAAGUUGAUGGAAAAGUCCAAAUCUUCUGAACCUCUAAGGUCUUAUCAUUGGUGCUGCCACUGCUUCCUAAGAUCUGAUGGCCUUCUCAUCUGUCCUAUUGCUAUGUCCUCUGGAUCUACUAAAUGUUGUCAUAUGAUCUACUGUUGGAUCUUAAGGAAUUCUGAGUUUUAUCAUACUUCUCUUCCUGCUACACUCUACGAACUACCGAGCCUUUCCAUGUGUCUUGAAAAUGGAUCCACCUAAAUAAAUUUUUUUCUAAUUAAAUUAUGAACUCCCUAGAGUAUGGAGUACCUUGUUUUUUCUAUUUGCAUUCCCAACAUUUAGCCUGGUGUUCAGCAUAUAGUAGGCCCUCAGUAAAGGCUUUUAAAUCCAUUCUAUUCCAUCAUUUUAUGUACUAUCUUAGGGGUAGGGCAUUUAUAAUGUAAACUAUUACAAAAUAUUUUCUCCCCCCAAAUGAUUGAGAGUAUAUUUAUAACUACUAACCCAUAUAUCUAUGUUUAAAAAUCUUCAUAAAAUCUUUAUGAGAAUAAUCAAUAUGUAAAUUGAGGAUAGCUUUGAUUUAAAAACAAACUGGAAAAGGAAACAAAGUCUUUUCAAAGUAAUUUUCUAUAGCAAUUUAUAUAUUUCCAGUCUGACAAUUGACUGCAGGGUACAGAGGAAAUAUAUUCUUAUGUUUACUGUUUUUUAUUAUAAAAUAUUUAGUAAAAUAAAAUUUUGAAGUCAAUUUAUUAAACA